UGGCGGACGGGUGAGUAACACUGGGUAACCUACCCAUCAGAGGGGGAUAACACUUGGAAACAGGUGCUAAUACCGCAUAACGUCGCAAGACCAAAGAGGGGGACCUCCGGGCCUCGCGCCAUCAGAUGAACCCAUAUGGGAUUAGCUUGUAGGUAAGGUAACGGCUUACCUAGGCGACGAUCCCUAGCUGGUCUGAGAGGAUGAUCAGCCACACUGGGACUGAGACACGGUCCAG
This 235-nucleotide ribosomal RNA is filed under the name uncultured bacterium. Its description in RNAcentral is "partial 16S ribosomal RNA". It matches the Rfam family "Bacterial small subunit ribosomal RNA", at positions 96 to 334 of the family's 1533-position model. The record is from RNAcentral.